Molecule: ribosomal RNA, 468 nt
Filed under: uncultured bacterium
Lineage: Bacteria
Description: partial 16S ribosomal RNA
Rfam family: Bacterial small subunit ribosomal RNA
Source: RNAcentral
GACGAACGCUGGCGGCGUGCUUAACACAUGCAAGUCGAACGGAAAGGCCCUGCUUUUGUGGGGUGCUCGAGUGGCGAACGGAUGAGUAACACGUGAGUAACCUGCCCUUCACUUUGGGAUAACUUCAGGAAACUGGGGCUAAUACCGGAUAGGAGCUCCUGCUGCAUGGUGGGGGUUGGAAAGUUUCGGCGGUUGGGGAUGGACUCGCGGCUUAUCAGCUUGUUGGUGGGGUUGUGGCUUACCAAGGCUUUGACGGGUAGCCGGCCUGAGAGGGUGACCGGCCACAUUGGGACUGAGAUACGGGCCAGACUCCUACGGGAGGCAGCAGUGGGGAAUAGUGCAAAAUGGGCGGAAGCCUGAUGCAGCAACGCCGCGUGCGGGAUGACGGCCUUCGGGUUGUAAACCGCUUUCGCCUGUGACGAAGCGUGAGUGACGGUAAUGGGUAAAGAAGCACCGGCUAACUACGUG